GAGGAUCAGUUUUAUACUAUGGCUAAUAAGUGUGACGGCAUAUGGCGGAAAAAUAAGAACUCUCAGCCUCCAACAAAAAAGAGGGUGUCUAAACCAAAUCUAUUAAUGGACUUUGAAAUGGACCCUAAUACAUGUACCAGUGAAGACACCACAACUCAGCAUGAUCAAUCAGCUGAAGGACCAAAAAAAGCAGUCCAAAGAAAGAAACAAGGUCAACAGAAUUUAGAUGUGGCUUCAAGAAAGAAAAAACAGGAUAAAGAAGAUCAAAAUUUGAUUCUGUUCCACCAAAAAAGAAAUCAAAAGAAGAACUGCAAAAAGAGAAAAAGGAACGUCAGAUAAGCAGAAAUGCUGCAAUGGAGGCAGCAACAAAAUGGAUUGAAGAGCAUGCCACUAAUAAAGAAGUGAAAGACAGCCACAGGACGCCACAGAAACUGAAGUAUUUGUCGACCACUACAUACCGUCUCGUGGUCUUCAAAUUGAUCACUCUAAUUAUAAAUUGGUUCCAUUGGAUCAAGCAAUACCUCCACUUUAUGAGAGGAUUGGAGGAACUGAAGUUUCAGUCCCUCAAAAGUGGAUGGUAACCCUUCUAUCCAAGUGUAAAGGCAAAGGCUCCUCCUUCACCAUCAAAAAAAUGCUAGAUGGCUUUUUUGAGCCACAGGAGCUAGUUGGGCAGAAGGCCAGUAGUCUCCGAAACAACAAGAUAAUUCAGGCUAUACGUUUAUAUAUAAUCAACAAAUUUAAUGUCAAAGACAGUGACUUUAAUAGUGCUUUAAAUUCCAAGAUACACACCUGCAAAAGGGCAUCGACAAAGAUUAUAGAGAAGAAAUGAUUGUUUCAAUUUCAUGCAAUGGAGUCUUACUUAAUAUUUGACAAUUUGAAAUGUUUACACAAGAAGAUGUGUCACAGUGUUUCAAUGGAGAGCAAUUGAAGUUAUUUUUAUGGAUUAUCAUUUGUCCCUGUUAUAGAACAGUUACAUAUUGGGUGGUGAAAAAUUAAAUGUGACAUUUUAUACUUAUUUGAUGAUGUUAAGAACAAAGAGACAAAUAGUUACUAUUUAUUCAUGUUUAUUAUUAAUUUUUUAAUCUUAAUCUGCAUGGCUUCAUUUUGCUAUCCUUUGACUUGUUUGAGAGAUCUUAAUUAAAGGAUGUGAGCACUAACAUUUACUUAAAACCUCAACUGAACCUAUUUAAUGAAUGGUCACAUACAACGUACUGUUUCAUGUUGUCAGAGGUAAAAAUAUAUGAUUUUGAUCAAAGAAAUAUGAAAGUGAAAAGCUUAUAAAUGCAUCAGAUUUAAAUCAAAAUAAGGUGUGCCUGGUAAGAAAUAAAAACCACCAAACAACCAAAUGACACAAAAAAAAAUGUUGGAAAGAUUUUUUUGUUGAGUGAUAUGGCAACAUUAUAAGAUGGUCCUUAGCUUGAAUUGAGCAGUAGAUUUUAAGGUUUGGAGGUGUUUUUUUUCAUUUGCUGAGUGAAUAAUUAUAUGCCCCCAUAAUACAAUAGCAAUUUUAUUUUUUAAAUACAGUAUCUUCUGUAGGGCAUUGAUCAGCAUUUUUAAAUCCUUUAAUGAAUAGAAAAACAAGAAAGUCAAAUAUUUCAAAGAUCAUUUAAAUGCAUCUGGACCUACUAUUGUAGAAAUACAAAAAUCAACAAUUUUUGUUAUUUAUCCUAUAGUUCUUUUUUCUCAAACUGUUUAUUUUAUU
Long non-coding RNA from Mytilus californianus (California mussel), 1702 nucleotides. RefSeq lists it as uncharacterized. NCBI's taxonomy places the organism in Eukaryota, Metazoa, Mollusca, Bivalvia, Mytilida, Mytilidae. The transcript is spliced from 7 exons. The record is from RefSeq and is a predicted model, not a curated record.